This 415-nucleotide ribosomal RNA is filed under the name uncultured eukaryote. Its description in RNAcentral is "SSU rRNA". It matches the Rfam family "Eukaryotic small subunit ribosomal RNA", at positions 592 to 1013 of the family's 1831-position model. The record is from RNAcentral.
CAAUAGCGUAUAUUAAAGUUGUUGCGGUUAAAAAGCUCGUAGUUGGAUUUCUGCUGAGGACGACCGGUCCGCCCUCCGGGUGAGCAUCUGGUUCGGCCUUGGCAUCUUCUUGGUGAACGUAUCUGCACUUGACUGUGUGGUGCGGUACCCAGGACUUUACUUGAGGAAAUUAGAGUGUUUCAAGCAGGCAUACGCCUUGAAUACAUUAGCAUGGAAUAAUAAGAUAGGACCUCGGUUCUAUUUUGUUGGUUGCCAGAAACGAGGUAAUGAUGAAGAGGGAUAGUUGGGGGCAUUCGUAUUUAACUGUCAGAGGUGAAAUUCUUGGAUUUGUUAAAGACGAACUACUGCGAAAGCAUCAACCAAGGAUGUUUCAUUAAUCAAGAACGAAAGGUUAGGGGAUCGAAGAUGAUCAGAU